This 152-nucleotide unclassified non-coding RNA is filed under the name Butyrivibrio fibrisolvens DSM 3071. RNAcentral describes it as "Clostridiales-1 RNA". The record is from RNAcentral. Lineage: Bacteria; Bacillati; Bacillota; Clostridia; Lachnospirales; Lachnospiraceae.
CGGUUUUGAAGGAAUAAGUUCAGCUCUAUGCUUAUCGCAUAGAGCUUUUUUGUUGCACAAGACCGGCAAGCGAAUGGAUGCUUGCAUACAAAUUCAUUUGCCGGUUGUAAGAACAUGGAGCACGAAGUGCGGAAUGUUCGUGUGCGAAAUCG